Molecule: long non-coding RNA, 2018 nt
Organism: Monodelphis domestica (gray short-tailed opossum)
Lineage: Eukaryota; Metazoa; Chordata; Mammalia; Didelphimorphia; Didelphidae
Source: Ensembl
GUCCUUUCAUAUUCACAAAGUAUUUUACUAAUAUCUCAUUUUAUUCUCAGAACGACCCUGGGAGGUAAGUGUUCUGAUUAUCCCCAUUUUACAAAUGAGGAAACUAAGACAAAGGGAGGGUAUGUGACUUGCCCAAGAUCACACAGCUAGUAAGUGACUGAGUUUGGAUUUUAACUAGGUCUUCCUGACUUCAGGUGCAGUGCUAAAUUGUCCAUGUUUAUGGGGGCGGGGGGGGGGGGGAGGAGGGAGGACUCUCCAAUAAUUAGUUCUGUGAUGUCAAAUAUCAUACUCAUACUGUAUUGGUUUUUCCCACAUUUGCAUACUGCCAAGUGGCAUUUGAAAGAAACUUUAGAUUAAAAGACCAAUUUCCUUAAUUAGAUUGGAAAAGUAUCAACUUUGACAUAAAUAAAGCUGCUGUCAUGCUUAUCUUGCCCAUAUCACCAAGAGAGAAGCUGUGCGCAGACGCAUUGAACAGGCACCCCCUGAUUCUCCUCCCAAAGGCAUGAACGUCAGUAAGACGGCAGAGUUAUCAUCAAUGACACAUCCCUUUGUGGUAACUAAUGGCAGCCAGGGAACCUGGAACCAAGACUAUGGAGGUAACACCUCGGGCAUUUCUACAGCUUUAAACCUCUUCUCUUCGGGUCUAGCCUCGCCUGCUACAACGGCGAGCAGAAUUUCAGCACUCCUCAUUCCCAGAUGAAGGGAACCACUGAAAAGACCUCCAUGACCAUGAAGACAGCAAAGACCACAGGACCGAUCAUCACUAAAAAACCUGUUUCUAUUACCCUGCAAACAAAAAGCUACCCCAAAAAUGAACAUCGGAGCUUGAGAGAUGCCCCAGCAGGAAUGGGAGUCGCUAGUCCAGAGGCUGUCAGGAACUCGACCAUCCAGGAUCUGCCCACACAUUCUGAGAUCAAUCUAACAUCCAGCCCGCAGAUACCAGCCCACGGUGAGCUCAUAGAUGCACCGACGAAGCCAGAAACCCCAAUCACUAUCACCACCUUAACUCCAAUCUCAGCAGCAUCACUGUUGAACAGCUCACCUAUCUUGGAAAGAGCUCCAUCUGCUCCCCCGGAGACAGAUUCCAAAACCACAUUGGUGACUGCCUCACCAAGCACUUCACAGGUUACAGAACGGAGUGUCCUUCAAAGCACCGCGAGACCUAAGACCGUCACAAUCCCAACUGGGAGCUCAGUCACCUCCUCCAACACCUCGGUUCAGUCAGCCAUCGAAAGUGAAUACAUCCGGCUGAAUGCUUCCCCCUUACGGCAGUACUGGGCCAAUCAGAACUUGCUCUUUGCUGCGCUAUUAAUUUGCGCCAUAUUUUUCAUCAGCGUCCUGGUUUUGUUGGCCAUGCAAGCCUAUGAGAGUUACAAGAGCGGAGAUUACACCCAAGUGAACUAUUUAAUUAAUGGAAUCCACGAAGCUCUCCUUAGGCAGCCUGGUAGCUCUCCACUCCCAGGAGCUCAUCACAUCAUUGCAGACACCUUCUGGCUUUAGUCCUACUGUAGCUCAGAACUCCUGAGCUCAAGCAAUCCAUCACUCUGCCUCCCCCAGUAGCAGCAAUUCUAAUUGUAUAACACCACACCCAUAUUGUACUCCAUUUCACAGUGUUUGUUCUUUUCCUUUGAAUUUCUCCUUUUGAUCAUGAAGCCAAAUAUGAAUUGAACAAAUUGAAUUAUUCCAUUUCUGUUCUUUGUCUUAUGUUAAUAUGGGGGGAGGGGGGGAAAGGAGGGAGAGAUGUCAGAAUGGAUAGAUUACUGGCCCAGCAGUUAGGGAGACCUGAAUUCAAGUCCUACCCCUCAUGCAUGUGUGACCCUGGGCAGCUCACCUGGUGCCCUCUGUGCCCAAGUCAACCUAGAUAAUUUUAUCACCAAAGAGUUCCCUGCAACAGUGAAAUAAGUAUGGUGCCUAUCCUUAUAUUAACAUUGUACAAGGGGACCCAUUACAGUUUCAAAGGAUUCAUCAUGAAACAUGUUAUCUACCUCCAAAUAAAGAAGAAAUGGACUCAGAGUGCA